Molecule: RNA transcript, 1777 nt
Organism: Anastrepha obliqua
Lineage: Eukaryota; Metazoa; Arthropoda; Insecta; Diptera; Tephritidae
Gene: stck
Gene name: LIM and senescent cell antigen-like-containing domain protein 1
Exons: 8
Source: RefSeq, a predicted model, not a curated record
GGCUUAGUGUAAAUUAAACAUUGGGAGUGUACCCACACGUUAAGAUUUUAAUAAAUUAAAAAUGUCUUCAAAAAUGAAAAUAGUACAAGCAGCUGACAUGUCGCUAGCUGCUAUGCAUUGUGCCCGCUGCACGGACGGCUUCGAGCCCAACGAGAAGAUCGUCAAUUCGAACGGGGAACUCUGGCACACCCAGUGUUUUGUCUGUGCGCAGUGCUUCCGGCCAUUCGAAGAUGGCAUCUUCUACGAAUUUGAGGGACGUAAAUACUGUGAGCGGGAUUUUCAUGUGCUAUUCGCACCCUGUUGCAAUAAAUGCGGUGAAUUUGUAAUCGGACGUGUCAUCAAAGCGAUGAGCGCUAGCUGGCAUCCGCAGUGCUUCCGUUGUCAAAUGUGUGCCAAAGAGUUGGCCGAUUCAGGUUUUAUACGCAAUCAAAAUCGUGCCUUAUGCCAUGAGUGCAAUGCCAAAGUGAAGGCCGAGAUAACGGGUCGUUAUAUGUGUCAAAAGUGUCAUGGCGUCAUUGAUGACGCGCCAUUGCGUUUUCGUGGUGAAGUUUAUCAUGGCUAUCACUUCAACUGCACUGCCUGCGGUAUUGAGCUAGACUCGACGGCACGCGAAGUUAAAAGCCGGCCGGGCUUAACGGCUAACGAUAUGAACGAAUUAUACUGCUUGCGCUGCCACGAUAAGAUGGGCAUACCGAUUUGCGGUGCUUGCCGUCGCCCUAUCGAGGAACGCGUUGUCACCGCUUUGGGCAAGCAUUGGCACGUUGAGCAUUUUGUGUGCGCCAAAUGCGAGAAGCCUUUCUUGGGCCAUCGUCAUUACGAGAAACGCGGUUUAGCUUACUGUGAGACACAUUAUCACCAAUUGUUUGGCAAUUUGUGCUUCGUGUGCAAUCAAGUUAUUGCCGGCGAUGUGUUCACAGCGCUAAACAAAGCCUGGUGUGUGCAUCACUUUGCUUGCUCCAUUUGCGAUAUGAAAAUGACGCAGAAAUCGAAAUUCUACGAAUACGACGAGAAACCGGUGUGCAAGAAAUGCUACGAACGUUUCCCUAGCGAAUUGAGGCAACGUUUGCGCAAGGCACACGAAAUGUCCAUGAAGAAGAACUUCUAAACGCCUGCGUUAAUUUAGAAAAGUACAUUGUAAAUGCAACACUCUAAUCCGGAACGCGUACUAUGUGCAUAGAGAGGCCAAACAGUCAUAAUGCAAAGUAAAAAAUGAUACUGAUGAUAUUUUUAAAGGAAAACUAAUCCAUUGGGCUUUUGGGAGUGCCUUAAUUAAGUGACUACAUAUUUUGUAUGUAUUAAUAAAAUGGAUCACGUUGAUAAAGUUAUGCCACAUUUGAUAUAAAAAUCGCAAGCACAAACGCAUACAUUUGUGCGUCCAUAGUAAAAGCAAAAAAAUAGUCAAUAAUAUAACAUUAACAUAUUAAGUACGGUCGGCUCAGAAGAAUACACGUACAAACAGCUUCCAUAACAAUUUAUUUAUUACGCGAAAAUUUACUACUGCCAGCGUUUCUACAACAUCACCUUUAGUCUGCAUAUUUAUAAUUUUGUGUUGUUGUUUUCAAAUGCUCGUCUUUACGACCGCUCCCUGUAUGUGUCUAUGUUGCUGUGUUUUUUGCUCAGCCAUUAAUAUUUAAUGCACAUUUUGAACAAAUAGUUUUACAAAGAUUAGAUAUAUUGUAUUAAAUGUUAACGUUUUUCUCUCAAAGUGCAUCUGUUGUAAUUUAAUGUAUUGAAAAUGUAAACUUAUUCUGCAGCUAACUAAAUAAUAAAUAUAAUA